AACGAACGCUGGCGGCAUGCCUAACACAUGCAAGUCGAACGAACCCUUCGGGGUUAGUGGCGCACGGGUGCGUAACACGUGGAAUCUGCCCUUUGCUUCGGAAUAACAGUUAGAAAUGACUGCUAAUACCGGAUGAUGUCGUAAGACCAAAGAUUUAUCGGCAAAGGAUGAGCCCGCGUAGGAUUAGGUAGUUGGUGGGGUAAAGGCCUACCAAGCCGACGAUCCUUAGCUGGUCUGAGAGGAUGAUCAGCCACACUGGGACUGAGACACGGCCCAGACUCCUACGGGAGGCAGCAGUGGGGAAUAUUGGACAAUGGGCGAAAGCCUGAUCCAGCAAUGCCGCGUGAGUGAUGAAGGCCUCGGUUGUAAGCUCUUUUACCUAGGGAUGAUAAUGACAGUACCUGGAGAAUAAGACUCCGGCUAACUCCGUGCCAGCAGCCGCGGUAAU
RNAcentral lists this ribosomal RNA (448 nucleotides) under uncultured bacterium. RNAcentral's name for it is "bacterial SSU rRNA". It matches the Rfam family "Bacterial small subunit ribosomal RNA", at positions 29 to 524 of the family's 1533-position model. The record is from RNAcentral.